UCGAAUUUAAAACUUAUAAAAGUGCACUUCCAUAAGAUGCCAUAUUCGCAUGGCUUAUAUACAAUAGUCAAAAUAUCAUUCUACUUAUAGUUUAUCCUAUACAUGCCAUAAGCUAAGUCCAAAUCACAUGAUUACUACAAUAGUAGAUAGCGUGACGAAGUACUGACGAUCCCCGAGCUAAUAGUAAGAGUCAACGAUCUACAAAAAUAAACAGAGAAACAUAACAUUCAAAGUAAGCUUUCAUAAGCUUAGUAAGUCUUAAGCAAUUUAGACAGUUGAACUUAAAAAUAAACCAAAUGUUCGAAAUCACAUAACACUUUCUGAGUAUAAUACUAUUUGGCUGAUUAUGCACAAACACAUAUCAUUUUACUCCGUUUAUACUCAAACUCAUAUAAACAUAGUAUUUACAAGCUUCCGGAUUAACUUUAAUUCUUUCAAAUUUCACUAGUGUAUCAUUUCUUACCCACACUUACUUUCAAAAUUUAUAGUUAAAUGGCAUAUCGAAAACUAUCUUGUAACUUUGCAUAAUAACUGAAUACACACAUAUACAAAUAUACAUCUGAAUUUACAACAUCUUUUCAUAUGUUACUCAUUACACAUUCUUAAUUCCCGUCAGAUCAAUCUCACAUAUAAUAUAUAUAUCACAUACCUGAAUCACUUAAUGUGUAAUACGAGUUCAAUUUAUCAUCAUAGCGUAGGAUCUCGUAGUCAUAUACUUUAUCAAAUUCACUAACACUUGGCUUGCGAGGUAUAAAACUCGAACAUAACACCAGCACGAAGCCUACGAGACUUUAAACUCAGAUAUAAUAGCAGCACUAGGCCUGCGGGAUUUAACUCAGAUACACAUCAAAUAUCAUGCAUAUUUAAUCAUACAUUAACACAUCUCAUUCAACAUAUCACAUUAGUAGUCAUUUGUUACAAUCGGAUAUAAGCUUCAUAUGAACACCAUCAUUUACAUUUCAGUUCAAAAGUCAUACAUAAAUAUCAUAUAUCAAUUUCACCAUUCAAACUUAACCCAUAGUGACCAUUCGACUAAAAGUCAUAUACAUAAAUUAUUUAUCGCACAACUUAAUUCAAAUAGAACCAAAAGGUCACAAUUCAUCUAAUAUAUACAUAUUGCUCACUGAUUCGCACACAACCUUUCAAAUUAGCAAUUAUAAGAUGGUUCCGCACAUAGCCCAUCCUUAUCGAUAAUUUACGAUGGUUUUACCCUUACUCACAUAUACAACAUUUUUACCUAUGCUUCUCAAUUCACAUUCAUGAUUCAAUUCCAAUCAAUUUAACAUGCAUAAGUACAUAUCGCAUACUUGGCCAACUUAAUGUAUUGAAUGAAUUCGAUUGUCGAUUUAACACAAGGUCUCAUAGUUGAACCUAAACAUGAAACCAUUUCUUAUAGGUUCGAUUCACAUCAAUCAUCAUUUUCAUUUAAUUCACAUGUACAUAAUUAGGUUGUUCGUACCUGAAUAAUUUACUUUACGGAACGAAUCCACAUAUCGUAUUAGCCCAUAGUCUUAUAACACCACACUUUUAAUAGUUCACCUCAUCGAAGUUCACAAUUAAUCACUUUAGUGCCAAGCCAUAUUCGGCUACCACAAAGGACUAAUAAUAAUAAUUUUAUACACAUCAUGGUUUCCUUUAGAUAUUUAAUAAUCACAAAGGACUACCAACACAUAUACGGCAUAGUUUAUUCAUUGUAACACUCAUUUAGUGCAUCAAAUUUCCAAGUCCAAUUCAACUUAAGCAUAAUAGCCAUAAUCGACUUAUAGCCUUAAAUCAUUACAUAUUCGGCACAUUAACUAAAUAAAAUUUACAUUCCCUUUGCCAUAUUAAUUUAACUCUUAGGCAUAUAAAAAGGAAUCAAGCUUAAACACUUAAGAACUUACCUCGAAUGUUACCGAACGAUUACAACGGCUAUUCGAUUACUUUCUCUUUUCCCUUAUCUGAAUUUGCCCCUCUAUGCUCUUGAGCUUAAAUUCAACAAUUUUAAACUUAGUCAUUAUUCGACUAUUCAAGCAUCACUUUCAGAAUAUAAUAUAUAUUCGAAUUUCACACAUACAGAUCAUAGUAAGCUUAUAAGAAAUCAAUAAGCAACUCAUUAACAAAUUUUUGUCAAUGUUUACCACAUAAUCAUAAUUUCACUGCAAGCUGUCUUCCUGAGCAACAGUCACUAAAUCAUUUAUAACUGGAGCUACAAAACUCCAAAUCAACUUCCAUUAAUUUUCCCUGAAAAUAGACUCAUAUAUCUUCUAUCCAUAAAAUUUUCAUAAUUUUUGGUUUGGCCAAUCAAUACCAGAUUUUUCUUAAAGUUUCCCCUAUUUCACUAUUUGACUAAUCUGACCACUCUUCACUACGAAUCAAAUUUCUCAUUGUACAGAAUUCAAAAUAUGUUCUCGUUGAUUUCAUUUGAAACUAGAAUCAUUAAGGAGUCUAAGCAUAUAAAAUUUAUCUUAGAACCAUUUUUGUACAAAUUAUAAUGAUUUUCUAAAUAAAAGGAAUAGGGGACCCCGAAGUCAUUUGACUCUAUCCCACACCACUUCAAAUAUCUCAUUAUCAGAAAUUCAUUUGCUUUCACGGUUUCUUUUAUAAGGAACUAGGCUCAUUAAGCUUUAAUUACAUAAUUUAUUCAGCUUCUAAAUCAUCUCCCACAAUUUAUGGUGAUUUUCCAAAAUCACAUUACUGCUACUGUCCCAAGCAGAUUUAUUACCAAUUCACUCUUUCACACAUACCUUGCAUUCACAUUAUUUAAACAUGUAUAUCACCAAUCAAUUUCAUCACAUAUCUAUACUUUCACUUACCCAUAAUCUCAAUACAAUACAUCAUGCUCAAUUAUACCUUGACUUAUCCAUUCCUUUCAUUUAAACAACCCACAUAACUUAUUCAUUCAUGAACACAUUCGGCACUAUACAUCUUUACAAAUAUUUCUUGGCACCUUUAUCAUAUUUUCACAAUCGGCAUAACCGUGUUACCAAUCUAAUACAUCAAAAUUUACUUAUCCAGGACUACAUUCAGCAUAUAUAUAUUCACAUAAACACAAUAGCCGAACACUUCAUGAAGUUACCGAGACUCAUCAUUUGCUAUUUCACACACACUCACAUCCAAUCCUUUUUAUUAAACACUCAAAACCAACCAUCUUCAUGCCUUAUCACAAAAAUAUCAAAACACCGACCAAGACACUCUACAACCCAUAGCCGAAUGCAUCACUUCAAACCAAUAACAAAAAUUGAGUCAUGGGCUAUGAAAGGAGCUUAGCAAUUAACUCAAUUUCACAUAAAUUAUCAAGAAAUAAAAUUAAACAUACCUUCAAUUAGAAUCACCAAGGCCAAAUAUCAAAGAGCCCUUUUUUUUCUACCUUAGAUUCUGAAUUUUCUCCUUGGCCGAAAUCCUCAAAAUAUCUUUCCUCUUUCUUUUUCCCACAUUCGGCAAGAACAGGCAAUGAUGUAUGGUCCCUUUUUCUUUUCUUUUUUUAUUCAUUCACCUUACCCAUUAACUAUUAUAAUAUUAAUAUGUAAGGCAUAUAUGGCUAU
Molecule: long non-coding RNA, 3524 nt
Filed under: Gossypium barbadense (sea-island cotton)
Lineage: Eukaryota; Viridiplantae; Streptophyta; Magnoliopsida; Malvales; Malvaceae
Description: long non-coding RNA (GBAR_LNC007596)
Source: RNAcentral